UACGGAGGGUGCAAGCGUUGUCCGGAAUCACUGGGCGUAAAGGGCGCGUAGGCGGCUCAUGAAGGCUGUGGUGAAAGUCCGGGGCUCAACCUCGGAUCGGCCGUGGCGACUCGUGGGCUGGAGCACUGUAGAGGCGGGUGGAAUUCCGGGUGUAGCGGUGGAAUGCGUAGAGAUCCGGAAGAACACCAGUGGCGAAGGCGGCCCGCUGGGCAGUGGCUGACGCUGAGGCGCGGCAGCGUGGGGAGCAAACAGG
This 253-nucleotide ribosomal RNA is filed under the name uncultured bacterium. RNAcentral describes it as "partial 16S ribosomal RNA". It matches the Rfam family "Bacterial small subunit ribosomal RNA", at positions 524 to 776 of the family's 1533-position model. The record is from RNAcentral.